AACGAACGCUGGCGGCAUGCCUAACACAUGCAAGUCGAACGAGACCUUCGGGUCUAGUGGCGCACGGGUGCGUAACGCGUGGGAACCUGCCCUUAGGUUCGGAAUAACUCCCCGAAAGGGGUGCUAAUACCGGAUAAUGUCUUCGGACCAAAGAUUUAUCGCCUUUGGAUGGGCCCGCGUUGGAUUAGCUAGUUGGUAGAGUAAAAGCCUACCAAGGCGACGAUCCAUAGCUGGUCUGAGAGGAUGAUCAGCCACACUGGGACUGAGACACGGCUCAGACUCCUACGGGAGGCAGCAGUGGGGAAUAUUGGACAAUGGGCGAAAGCCUGAUCCAGCAAUGCCGCGUGAGUGAUGAAGGCCUUAGGGUUGUAAAGCUCUUUUACCCGGGAUGAUAAUGACAGUACCGGGAGAAUAAGCUCCGGCUAACUCCGUG
This 433-nucleotide ribosomal RNA is filed under the name uncultured bacterium. RNAcentral's name for it is "partial 16S ribosomal RNA". It matches the Rfam family "Bacterial small subunit ribosomal RNA", at positions 29 to 507 of the family's 1533-position model. The record is from RNAcentral.